This 89-nucleotide transfer RNA is filed under the name Oscillospiraceae bacterium. RNAcentral's name for it is "tRNA-Ser". It matches the Rfam family "tRNA". Rfam says of the family: Transfer RNA (tRNA) molecules are approximately 80 nucleotides in length. The record is from RNAcentral. Lineage: Bacteria; Bacillati; Bacillota; Clostridia; Eubacteriales; Oscillospiraceae.
GGAGGGUUACCCAAGUGGUCGUAAGGGGGCGGUCUUGAAAACCGUUUGAGGGCAACCUCACAAGAGUUCGAAUCUCUUACCCUCCGCCA